GAUGAACGCUGGCGGCGUGCCUAAUACAUGCAAGUCGAGCGAACGGACGAGAAGCUUGCUUAUCUGAUGUUAGCGGCGGACGGGUGAGUAACACGUGGAUAACCUACCUAUAAGACUGGGAUAACUUCGGGAAACCGGAGCUAAUACCGGAUAAUAUUUUGAACCGCAUGGUUCAAAAGUGAAAGACGGUCUUGCUGUCACUUAUAGAUGGAUCCGCGCUGCAUUAGCUAGUUGGUAAGGUAACGGCUUACCAAGGCAACGAUGCAUAGCCGACCUGAGAGGGUGGUCGGCCACACUGGAACUGAGACACGGUCCAGACUCCUGCGGGAGGCAGCAGUAGGGAAUCUUCCGCAGUGGGCGAAAGCCUGACGGAGCAACGCCGCGUGAGUGAUGAAGGUCUUCGGAUCGUAAAACUCUGUUAUUAGGGAAGAACAUAUGUGUAAGUAACUGUGCACAUCUUGACGGUACCUAAUCAGAAAGCCACGGCUAACUACGUG
Molecule: ribosomal RNA, 497 nt
Filed under: uncultured bacterium
Lineage: Bacteria
Description: partial 16S ribosomal RNA
Rfam family: Bacterial small subunit ribosomal RNA
Source: RNAcentral